This 1074-nucleotide long non-coding RNA is filed under the name Bos indicus x Bos taurus (hybrid cattle). Its description in RNAcentral is "lncRNA (ENSBIXG00000024411.1)". The record is from RNAcentral. Lineage: Eukaryota; Metazoa; Chordata; Mammalia; Artiodactyla; Bovidae.
CACCUGCCCGCCGGGGGACGUGUCCUCACCAGCUCUGACACCACGGCUCGUGCAUCAGGCAGCGGGCCGGCCUGGGUGAGAUCAGCGUGAGAGGGAAGCCGGUGUUCUCGGCGCCCGAGUCCCCAGCUGUUGUAUCAGUGUGGUCACAGAAGGAUGCAUGGGAACGGGCGGUGGUCCUUCUGCUCAAUUUAACUGGCUUUACGGCUCUGAUUUUAUAAGGGGUUGAUGCUGGAAAGGCAAGGACUCAAGCGUAUCUUUAAAUCUAGAACUGAACCCUAGAUUAAAAAUUAAUGUAUGAUCAGUAUCAAAAUACUCAACAGAGACAACUUCAGAUGAGAAAAGAAAAAUCACUCAGAUCUUACUGUUAAUAAUCAUAAUUAGCAUCUUGGUUAAAAAACCCUUCCAGAUUAAUUUUUGGCCAUGAAAAUAUACAGAGGUGCUGUCAAGGAAACCACAACUUAUUUUUUACCAGCUUGAACAUCUGGAAGCUCACGGUUCACGUAUUGCUGAAGUGGUGCGUGGCGCAGGAGUGGCUGAGAGGAGGACCCCACAUCCCAGGUCAGGAGUGGCGGCCAAGAGGAACGCACUGGUCAUAACAAACACCCUCUUCCAACAACACAAGAGAAGACUCUACACGUGGACAUCACCAGAUGGUCAACACCAAAAUCAGACUGAUUGUAUUCUUUGCAGCCAAAGAUGGAGAUUAUGUCACAGUAUGACUUUAUAAGGCAUCCAGGUUGUAAAACGGUCAGAGGAAACGCAAGCUCACCUGCAUGUGCUCUGCUCAGUGACAGUAGACCUCAGCACUCGGGAGUCAGGCGCCUGUGAUUUUAACUGAGUGGAACUGUUUCAUGCAGAGUUCAGUUACUUCUGUCAUUUCUCACAUCCGUAUCCUUCUGGAGUCCUCUCUGGGUCCUCCUACGACAAUAUUAUUAAAAACACGAUGUGUAUAAUUUCAUAACGCUCUCCAUGCUACUUAAUAAUAAUUAGCACAUAUUUUGGCAUAUGUGCUUUUCUGUUCAUUGUUUUAUAUCAAUUCAUAUUAUGUUUCCCUGUAUCUUGAUUUUUAAAAAU